AUAAAUACACGAGCAUAUAUCAAUGAUAAUACAAGCCAACUUUACAGAUAUUCAACAUUCAUAAUUCUAAUGAAACUGCUGUUGGUUCUCACUUAAAUUUGCACUAACAUUUCUCGUUUUCAGAAUUAGUAGCCACCAGCCAUUGGUGGAUUCAAAUUAAAUAUCGAUACUACACUUUCUCCAAAAACAGGAACGGGUGGUCUUGGUGCUGUAGUGAGGAAUUAUUUAGGAGAGGUGGUAGCUUUUAUGGCGGUCCCUUGUAACGGUUUGUGGUCUUCAUCUACUUUGGAAACUCACCGUCUUCUUACUACUCUUCACUGAUGUUCAAUGGCUGGCCUUCCAAUUACUCAAGUGGAGACUGAUGCUAAGAUAAUUGUGGAUAAAACAUGGACUUCGAGAAUGUGUUCGACAUGUACUGUGCUCUCAAGGCUCCUGAAGCUCCUGCGAGCAAGAAGAAAGCGAGCAGGUGGCAUCAAGGGGAAAGCAGUAAAGCGCCUCCAGCCAAGAAAUCUCGUACUACAGACCCUUUAGCAGACGACCCGUCAACAAAUGCAACACCACCUCCUUCUCCCCUCGAGCAGCAAACUCCUCCUGCUCUGGUCGGGUCGACAUGUAGAGUCCAAGAACUUUACUUAGCUAAGUUAGAUAGUAGUAUUAUAGUAAUAAUAGUAUGAUCUUUAUGACUCUGGAUUUUUGGUUAAGACCGGGAUUUAUUUGGACACUCAUAGUAGUACUUGUAGAUUUUCUAAGUUUAAUCUAUAGUUUAAGAAUAUUAAUUUU
Long non-coding RNA from Humulus lupulus (European hop), 780 nucleotides. RefSeq lists it as uncharacterized. The record is from RefSeq and is a predicted model, not a curated record. The transcript is spliced from 2 exons. Lineage: Eukaryota; Viridiplantae; Streptophyta; Magnoliopsida; Rosales; Cannabaceae.